AAGGUCUUCGGAUUGUAAACUUCUGUUAAGUGGGAAGAAAGAACCGAUUUUAAUAAAAUCGGGUGAUGACGGUACCAUUAGAGAAAGCACCGGCUAAACUCGUGC
RNAcentral lists this ribosomal RNA (105 nucleotides) under uncultured bacterium. RNAcentral's name for it is "partial 16S ribosomal RNA". It matches the Rfam family "Bacterial small subunit ribosomal RNA", at positions 411 to 508 of the family's 1533-position model. The record is from RNAcentral.